AAAUGGCCCGCGCUAGGGAUAGCAGUGAAAAGCCCACAGCAGGGCCAAUGGUAAUUGGACCUACGAGGACUUGUAGCGUAUAGCCCGACCCUUG
RNAcentral lists this non-coding RNA (94 nucleotides) under Algibacter lectus. The record is from RNAcentral. Lineage: Bacteria; Pseudomonadati; Bacteroidota; Flavobacteriia; Flavobacteriales; Flavobacteriaceae.